CAGCACCUCAAGUGGUCAGGAUGAUUAUUGGGCCUAAAGCAUCCGUAGCCGGCGCUGUAAGUUUUCGGUUAAAUCUGUACGCUCAACGUACAGGCUGCCGGGAAUACUGCAGCGCUAGGGAGUGGGAGAGGUAGACGGUACUCGGUAGGAAGGGGUAAAAUCCUUUGAUCUAUUGAUGACCACCUGUGGCGAAGGCGGUCUACCAGAACACGUCCGACGGUGUGGGAUGAAAGCUGGGGGAGCAAACCGGAUUAGAUACCCGAGUAGUCC
This 270-nucleotide ribosomal RNA is filed under the name uncultured archaeon. RNAcentral's name for it is "partial 16S ribosomal RNA". It matches the Rfam family "Archaeal small subunit ribosomal RNA", at positions 477 to 747 of the family's 1478-position model. The record is from RNAcentral.